This 30-nucleotide ribosomal RNA is filed under the name Tuber melanosporum (Perigord truffle). Its description in RNAcentral is "partial 18S ribosomal RNA". The record is from RNAcentral. Lineage: Eukaryota; Fungi; Ascomycota; Pezizomycetes; Pezizales; Tuberaceae.
UCCGUAGGUGAACCUGCGGAAAGAUCAUUA